This is a non-coding RNA of Gasterosteus aculeatus (three-spined stickleback), 62 nucleotides long. Lineage: Eukaryota; Metazoa; Chordata; Actinopteri; Perciformes; Gasterosteidae. The record is from Rfam.
GUCUUUGGUUAUCUAGCUGUAUGAGUUUUAAAUGCCUGUCAUAAAGCUAGAUAACCGAAAGU